GUGUGUACCACAAUACAAUGUUGGGCACAAUGACUUGCUUCAAUCCAUGAGACAUUAUGUUGCACAAUAUAACUUACCACUGACAUUUGUUGGGUCCUGGUAUGACGGGGUUGGUAUAAAUGAUUGUGUUUAUCAUACUCAACUUGCGGUGGACAAAUUAUUUAAUAAAUGAGUAGAUGAUAUGGAAUUACUUAAUAUUUUCAAUUUGCAAAAUUAAUUUAAGUAACGUACGUGGGGAAGCAAUUUAACUCCAGUGUGAGGUCAAUGAGGAAGGUGUAAUGUGGAAUACUCUACUCAACAGUCAACACUAAC
Non-coding RNA from Paramuricea clavata, 312 nucleotides. Lineage: Eukaryota; Metazoa; Cnidaria; Anthozoa; Malacalcyonacea; Plexauridae. The record is from the annotation of a GenBank genome assembly.